Molecule: long non-coding RNA, 470 nt
Filed under: Elaeis guineensis (African oil palm)
Lineage: Eukaryota; Viridiplantae; Streptophyta; Magnoliopsida; Arecales; Arecaceae
Description: long non-coding RNA (EGUI_LNC065451)
Source: RNAcentral
CGGUACAAUUUUUUUUUUUUUGAGAAAGCUGGAAGCUAACAGAGAGCCCUAUUAGCCACCAGAAUUUUAUUUAUCAAAAGUAAAUGUACGGUAUAACAAAAGCAAGAGUAGCCAAGAAAUGUACAAUAACUAAAAAACAAGAAUAGCUAAUGUCAAAAAAGGGACAACAUCCAAUAGGAAUAGGCAAAGAGACUCCCUUGGCACUGUUGCAGCAAGAGAUCACAGACUCACAAGCUACAAAGAUUCUUUAUUACUGUCUUAAAAGGUAUAUCGUAGGCGACCAGAAAAGGAAUCAGACUACUAGGCAGCAUCCAAAGACCAUCUAGCUAAGACCGAAAGACACGGACAAGAUCAGAGGCAGUAUCCAGAAGAAGUUUUUCUACCAAGCAAAGUGCCUUAGUCUUGGGGGUUCGGAGUUCUGAAGGAACAAACAGCCUUUAGCUUUGUCCAAAAACUCAUAAGACCGGACA